AGUCGUAACAAGGUUUCCGUAGGUGAACCUGCGGAAGGAUCAUUACCGAGUGAGGGCUCCUCGUGAGCCCAACCUCCCACCCGUGUUUUUUACAUACCCUGUUGCUUUGGCGGGCCCACUGGGCUCUGUCUCGGUCGCCGGGGGACCUUCUGGGUCCUCGGGUCCGCGCCCGCCGAAGCGCCUCAUGAACCCUGAUGAAGAUGGGCUGUCUGAGUUUAAUAUGAAAAUUGUCAAAACUUUCAACAAUGGAUCUCUUGGUUCCGGCAUCGAUGAAGAACGCAGCGAAAUGCGAUAAGUAAUGUGAAUUGCAGAAUUCCGUGAAUCAUCGAAUCUUUGAACGCACAUUGCGCCCCCUGGCAUUCCGGGGGGCAUGCCUGUCCGAGCGUCAUUUCUGCCCUCAAGCACGGCUUGUGUGUUGGGUGUGGUCCCCUCCCUGGCGGGGGGACCUGCCCGAAAGGCAGCGGCGACGUCGCGUCCGGUCCUCGAGCGUAUGGGGCUUUGUCACUCGCUCGGGAAGGACCUGCGCGCGUCUGUCACAACUGUAUUUUUUACCACGGUUGACCUCGGAUCAGGUAGGAGUUACCCGCUGAACCUAAGCAUAUCA
Molecule: unclassified non-coding RNA, 604 nt
Filed under: Paecilomyces pascuus
Lineage: Eukaryota; Fungi; Ascomycota; Eurotiomycetes; Eurotiales; Thermoascaceae
Description: sequence contains 18S rRNA gene, ITS1, 5.8S rRNA gene, ITS2, 28S rRNA gene
Rfam family: 5.8S ribosomal RNA (bases 235-388)
Source: RNAcentral